Molecule: ribosomal RNA, 253 nt
Filed under: uncultured bacterium
Lineage: Bacteria
Description: partial 16S ribosomal RNA
Rfam family: Bacterial small subunit ribosomal RNA
Source: RNAcentral
UACGUAGGUGGCAAGCGUUGUUCGGAAUUAUUGGGCGUAAAGAGCGCGUAGGCGGUUCGAUAAGUCUGGUGUGAAAUCCCUGGGCUCAACUCAGGAAGUGCAUUGGAUACUGUCGGACUGGAGUACAGGAGGGGAGAGUGGAAUUCCUGGUGUAGAGGUGAAGUUCGUAGAUAUCAGGAGGAACAACAGAGGCGAAGGCGACUCUCUGGACUGUCACUGACGCUGAGGCGCGAAAGCGUGGGGAGCAAACAGG